RNAcentral lists this long non-coding RNA (315 nucleotides) under Elaeis guineensis (African oil palm). RNAcentral's name for it is "long non-coding RNA (EGUI_LNC040819)". Lineage: Eukaryota; Viridiplantae; Streptophyta; Magnoliopsida; Arecales; Arecaceae. The record is from RNAcentral.
AAUAUAUGAUCUACAUGCAGUAUCCAAUACCCAAGUAUCAGAGUCGGAGGUACUCAAUGAAAAAUAGGUUUGCAUCAUAUACACACCUUUUGAUAUAUACUUGUACCCUGCUUCAAGCUUAUAAGAUAAUUCUUGCAAUUAUUCUUCCAAUAUCCUAACUUGCCACAAAAAUAAUAGGUAAUAUCCGUGGGGACAUCCAUUGUCUUCUUAUUUUUGAAAGUAUUAUCACUGAUCAAAUCAGAUUUAAAAUUUUUAGAACAUCAGAGAUCUUCUCCUAUGUGAAUCUAAUUUGCAAGUUUCUCAACCAGUCCACAU